Molecule: ribosomal RNA, 1018 nt
Filed under: uncultured bacterium
Lineage: Bacteria
Description: bacterial SSU rRNA
Rfam family: Bacterial small subunit ribosomal RNA
Source: RNAcentral
AGGAAUAUUGGUCAAUGGUCGGCAGACUGAACCAGCCAAGUCGCGUGAGGGAAGACGGCCCUACGGGUUGUAAACCUCUUUUGUCGGAGAGUAAAGUACGCUACGUGUAGCGUAUUGCAAGUAUCCGAAGAAAAAGCAUCGGCUAACUCCGUGCCAGCAGCCGCGGUAAUACGGAGGAUGCAAGCGUUAUCCGGAUUUAUUGGGUUUAAAGGGUGCGUAGGCGGCACGCCAAGUCAGCGGUGAAAUUUCCGGGCUCAACCCGGACUGUGCCGUUGAAACUGGCGAGCUAGAGUGCACAAGAGGCAGGCGGAAUGCGUGGUGUAGCGGUGAAAUGCAUAGAUAUCACGCAGAACCCCGAUUGCGAAGGCAGCCUGCUAGGGUGCGACAGACGCUGAGGCACGAAAGCGUGGGUAUCGAACAGGAUUAGAUACCCUGGUAGUCCACGCAGUAAACGAUGAAUACUAACUGUUUGCGAUACAAUGUAAGCGGUACAGCGAAAGCGUUAAGUAUUCCACCUGGGGAGUACGCCGGCAACGGUGAAACUCAAAGGAAUUGACGGGGGCCCGCACAAGCGGAGGAACAUGUGGUUUAAUUCGAUGAUACGCGAGGAACCUUACCCGGGCUCAAACGCAGGGGGAAUGCCGGUGAAAGCCGGCAGCUAGCAAUAGUCACCUGCGAGGUGCUGCAUGGUUGUCGUCAGCUCGUGCCGUGAGGUGUCGGCUUAAGUGCCAUAACGAGCGCAACCCCUAUGGACAGUUACUAACGGGUGAAGCCGAGGACUCUGUCUAGACUGCCGGCGCAAGCCGCGAGGAAGGUGGGGAUGACGUCAAAUCAGCACGGCCCUUACGUCCGGGGCGACACACGUGUUACAAUGGCAGGUACAGAAGGCAGCCAGUCAGCAAUGACGCGCGAAUCCCGAAAACCUGUCUCAGUUCGGAUUGGAGUCUGCAACCCGACUCCAUGAAGCUGGAUUCGCUAGUAAUCGCGCAUCAGCCAUGGCGCGGUGAAUACGUUCCCG